UUAAGCGACUAAGCGUACACGGUGGAUGCCCUGGCAGUCAGAGGCGAUGAAGGACGUGCUAAUCUGCGAAAAGCGCCGGCGAGGUGAUAUGAACCUUUGACCCGGCGAUGUCCGAAUGGGGAAACCCAGUGCAAUUCGUUGCACUAUCGUUAACUGAAUACAUAGGUUAACGAGGCGAACCGGGGGAACUGAAACAUCUAAGUACCCCGAGGAAAAGAAAUCAACCGAGAUUCCCCCAGUAGCGGCGAGCGAACGGGGAGCAGCCCAGAGUCUGAAUCAGCUUGUGUGUUAGUGGAAGCGUCUGGAAAGUCGCACGGUACAGGGUGAAAGUCCCGUACACGAAAACACACAGGUUGUGAACUCGAAGAGUAGGGCGGGACACGUGGUAUCCUGUCUGAAUAUGGGGGGACCAUCCUCCAAGGCUAAAUACUCCUGACUGACCGAUAGUGAACCAGUACCGUGAGGGAAAGGCGAAAAGAACCCCGGCGAGGGGAGUGAAAAAGAACCUGAAACCGUGUACGUACAAGCAGUGGGAGCACCUUCGUGGUGUGACUGCGUACCUUUUGUAUAAUGGGUCAGCGACUUAUAUUCUGUAGCAAGGUUAACCGUAUAGGGGAGCCGAAGGGAAACCGAGUCUUAACUGGGCGUUAAGUUGCAGGGUAUAGACCCGAAACCCGGUGAUCUAGCCAUGGGCAGGUUGAAGGUUGGGUAACACUAACUGGAGGACCGAACCGACUAAUGUUGAAAAAUUAGCGGAUGACUUGUGGCUGGGGGUGAAAGGCCAAUCAAACCGGGAGAUAGCUGGUUCUCCCCGAAAGCUAUUUAGGUAGCGCCUCGUGAACUCAUCUUCGGGGGUAGAGCACUGUUUCGGCUAGGGGGCCAUCCCGGCUUACCAACCCGAUGCAAACUACGAAUACCGAAGAAUGUUAUCACGGGAGACACACGGCGGGUGCUAACGUCCGUCGUGAAGAGGGAAACAACCCAGACCGCCAGCUAAGGUCCCAAAGUCAUGGUUAAGUGGGAAACGAUGUGGGAAGGCACAGACAGCCAGGAUGUUGGCUUAGAAGCAGCCAUCAUUUAAAGAAAGCGUAAUAGCUCACUGGUCGAGUCGGCCUGCGCGGAAGAUGUAACGGGGCUAAACCAUGCACCGAAGCUGCGGCAGCGACACUUAGGUGUUGUUGGGUAGGGGAGCGUUCUGUAAGCCGUUGAAGGUGUGCUGUGAGGCAUGCUGGAGGUAUCAGAAGUGCGAAUGCUGACAUAAGUAACGAUAAAGCGGGUGAAAAGCCCGCUCGCCGGAAGACCAAGGGUUCCUGUCCAACGUUAAUCGGGGCAGGGUGAGUCGACCCCUAAGGCGAGGCCGAAAGGCGUAGUCGAUGGGAAACAGGUUAAUAUUCCUGUACUUGGUGUUACUGCGAAGGGGGGACGGAGAAGGCUAUGUUAGCCGGGCGACGGUUGUCCCGGUUUAAGCAUGUAGGCGGAGGUUCCAGGUAAAUCCGGUACCUUAUUAACGCUGAGGUGUGAUGACGAGGCACUACGGUGCUGAAGUAACAAAUGCCCUGCUUCCAGGAAAAGCCUCUAAGCAUCAGGUAACAUCAAAUCGUACCCCAAACCGACACAGGUGGUCAGGUAGAGAAUACCAAGGCGCUUGAGAGAACUCGGGUGAAGGAACUAGGCAAAAUGGUGCCGUAACUUCGGGAGAAGGCACGCUGAUAUGUAGGUGAAGCCCCUGCGGGUGGAGCUGAAAUCAGUCGAAGAUACCAGCUGGCUGCAACUGUUUAUUAAAAACACAGCACUGUGCAAACACGAAAGUGGACGUAUACGGUGUGACGCCUGCCCGGUGCCGGAAGGUUAAUUGAUGGGGUUAGCGGUAACGCGAAGCUCUUGAUCGAAGCCCCGGUAAACGGCGGCCGUAACUAUAACGGUCCUAAGGUAGCGAAAUUCCUUGUCGGGUAAGUUCCGACCUGCACGAAUGGCGUAAUGAUGGCCAGGCUGUCUCCACCCGAGACUCAGUGAAAUUGAACUCGCUGUGAAGAUGCAGUGUACCCGCGGCAAGACGGAAAGACCCCGUGAACCUUUACUAUAGCUUGACACUGAACACUGGUCCUUGAUGUGUAGGAUAGGUGGGAGGCUUUGAAGCGUGGACGCCAGUCUGCGUGGAGCCGUCCUUGAAAUACCACCCUUUAAUGGCUGGUGUUCUAACGUAGACCCGUAAUCCGGGUUGCGGACAGUGUCUGGUGGGUAGUUUGACUGGGGCGGUCUCCUCCCAAAGAGUAACGGAGGAGCACGAAGGUUAGCUAAUCCUGGUCGGACAUCAGGAGGUUAGUGCAAUGGCAUAAGCUAGCUUGACUGCGAGAGUGACGGCUCGAGCAGGUGCGAAAGCAGGUCAUAGUGAUCCGGUGGUUCUGAAUGGAAGGGCCAUCGCUCAACGGAUAAAAGGUACUCCGGGGAUAACAGGCUGAUACCGCCCAAGAGUUCAUAUCGACGGCGGUGUUUGGCACCUCGAUGUCGGCUCAUCACAUCCUGGGGCUGAAGUAGGUCCCAAGGGUAUGGCUGUUCGCCAUUUAAAGUGGUACGCGAGCUGGGUUUAGAACGUCGUGAGACAGUUCGGUCCCUAUCUGCCGUGGGCGCUGGAGAAUUGAGGGGGGCUGCUCCUAGUACGAGAGGACCGGAGUGGACGCAUCACUGGUGUUCGGGUUGUCAUGCCAAUGGCACUGCCCGGUAGCUAAAUGCGGAAAAGAUAAGUGCUGAAAGCAUCUAAGCACGAAACUUGCCCCGAGAUGAGUUCUCCCUGA
RNAcentral lists this ribosomal RNA (2792 nucleotides) under Enterobacter sp. DC4. RNAcentral's name for it is "bacterial LSU rRNA". It matches the Rfam family "Bacterial large subunit ribosomal RNA". The record is from RNAcentral. Lineage: Bacteria; Pseudomonadati; Pseudomonadota; Gammaproteobacteria; Enterobacterales; Enterobacteriaceae.